This 235-nucleotide unclassified non-coding RNA is filed under the name plant metagenome. RNAcentral describes it as "partial contains small subunit ribosomal RNA, internal transcribed spacer 1, and 5.8S ribosomal RNA". The record is from RNAcentral.
UCUCCGUUGGUGAACCAGCGGAGGGAUCAUUACCGAAGUUACCUUCAAAACCCACUGUGAACCUUACCUCUUGCCGCGUUGUCUCGGCGGGAGGCGGUGUGCGUCGCGCGCCCUAGCGGGCCGCGCCGCUCCCGUCCCCGCCGGCAGCGCCAAACUCUAAAUGCACAGCGGACUGUACGUUCUGAUUUACAAAAAAAACAAGUUAAAACUUUCAACAACGGAUCUCUUGGCUCUG